AUGGCAGCCAUUAUACUGUCUCUACAGCUGUUUGCUAUUGAGGAGUCCAUGUAAAGAGAUAUAAGUGGGGCCCACAUCAUACGGAUAUCUAUACAGCACCAUGUGUACAGGAUUAGGACACGCAAGACUUAGGAUCUACAGAACCUGGAUAUUCUACAGCACUGGACCGAGAACGUUUCUACGGAUUCCUGGCCCAAUUGGACCUUCCCAUGAGCCGCAAGAUAAAAUCUGAAAAAAGUGAAAGACUCCCAAGACUUCCCAAUGCCUUACAAUGACAGAUAACACAUAC
Molecule: long non-coding RNA, 289 nt
Organism: Bufo bufo (common toad)
Lineage: Eukaryota; Metazoa; Chordata; Amphibia; Anura; Bufonidae
Exons: 3
Source: RefSeq, a predicted model, not a curated record